UAAGACGAACCGUCCAAACGUUAUUCGGAAUCACUGGGCUUAAAGGGUGCGUAGGCGGCUUGGCAAGUUGGGUGUGAAAUCCCUCGGCUCAACCGAGGAACUGCGCCCAAAACUGCCAAGCUAGAGGGAGACAGAGGUGAGCGGAACUUAGGGUGGAGCGGUGAAAUGCGUUGAUAUCCUAAGGAACACCAGUGGCGAAGGCGGCUCACUGGGUCUCUUCUGACGCUGAGGCACGAAAGCUGGGGGAGCGAACGGGAUUAGAUACCCCGGUAGUCCUAGCUGUAAACGAUGAGCACUGGGCCGGAGAGUCCUCCAUAGCUUUCCGGCCGUAGCGAAAGUGUUAAGUGCUCCGCCUGGGGAGUAUGGUCGCAAGGCUG
RNAcentral lists this ribosomal RNA (377 nucleotides) under uncultured Planctomycetia bacterium. Its description in RNAcentral is "bacterial SSU rRNA". It matches the Rfam family "Bacterial small subunit ribosomal RNA", at positions 521 to 896 of the family's 1533-position model. Lineage: Bacteria; Pseudomonadati; Planctomycetota; Planctomycetia. The record is from RNAcentral.